GAGACGCUAGUAAAAUUAUUACACUUCCUUGUCGAGGCAGAAUAGUGGGUUAGACCCCCGCGCGUUUCA
RNAcentral lists this transfer RNA (69 nucleotides) under Trichonotus filamentosus. RNAcentral's name for it is "tRNA-Asp". It matches the Rfam family "tRNA". Rfam says of the family: Transfer RNA (tRNA) molecules are approximately 80 nucleotides in length. Lineage: Eukaryota; Metazoa; Chordata; Actinopteri; Gobiiformes; Trichonotidae. The record is from RNAcentral.